Molecule: ribosomal RNA, 401 nt
Filed under: uncultured bacterium
Lineage: Bacteria
Description: bacterial SSU rRNA
Rfam family: Bacterial small subunit ribosomal RNA
Source: RNAcentral
GGGGUGCUACACAUGCAGUCGAACGGAGAAAGUGGAGCAAUCCAUGAGUAAAGUGGCGACCGGGUGAGUACACGUGACUAACCUACCUUCAAGUGGGGGAUAACCUCGGGAAACCGGGGCUAAUACCGCAUAAAAUCUCUGGGAUGGAAAUCCUGUUGAUCAAAGGAGCAAUUCGCUGGAAGAGGGGGUCGCGGUGAUUAGCUAGUUGGCGGGGUAAUGGCCCACCAAGGCUUUGAUCGGUACCGGCUGAAGGGCGCACGGCACACUGGAACUGAAACACGGUCCAGACUCCUACGGGAGGCAGCAGUGGGGAAUUUUGCGCAAUGGGGGAAACCCUGACGCAGCAACGCCGCGUGGAGGAUGAAGUCCCUUGGGACGUAAACUCCUUUCGACUGGGAAGA